Molecule: transfer RNA, 72 nt
Filed under: Camelus bactrianus (Bactrian camel)
Lineage: Eukaryota; Metazoa; Chordata; Mammalia; Artiodactyla; Camelidae
Also listed under: 1 other name
Rfam family: tRNA
About the family: Transfer RNA (tRNA) molecules are approximately 80 nucleotides in length. Their secondary structure includes four short double-helical elements and three loops (D, anti-codon, and T loops).
Source: Rfam by way of RNAcentral
GAGGGUAUAGCUCAGUGGUAGAGUGUGUGCCUAGCAUGCAUGAGGUCCGGGGUUCGAUCCCCAGUACUUCCA